CCUACGGGCGGCAGCAGUGAGGAAUAUUGGUCAAUGGACGAGAGUCUGAACCAGCCAAGUAGCGUGAAGGAUGACUGCCCUAUGGGUUGUAAACUUCUUUUAUAUGGGAAUAAAAUGUUCCACGUGUGGGAUUUUGUAUGUACCAUAUGAAUAAGGAUCGGCUAACUCCGUGCCAGCAGCCGCGGUAAUACGGAGGAUCCGAGCGUUAUCCGGAUUUAUUGGGGUUAAAGGGAGCGUAGGAGGAUUGUUAAGUCAGUUGUGAAAUUUUGCGGCUUAACCGUAAAAUUGCAGUUGAAACUGGCAGUCUAGAGUACAGUAGAGGUGGGCGGAAUUCGUGGUGUAGCGGUGAAAUGCUUAGAGAUCACGAAGAACACUGAUUGCGAAGGCAGUUCACUGGACUGCAACUGACACUGAGGCGCGAAAGUGUGGGUAUCAAACAGGAUUAGAUACCCUAGUAGUC
Molecule: ribosomal RNA, 460 nt
Filed under: uncultured bacterium
Lineage: Bacteria
Description: partial 16S ribosomal RNA
Rfam family: Bacterial small subunit ribosomal RNA
Source: RNAcentral